CGAGUCGGCCAGGCGGCCGCGUAGCCUUUGGCUCCGAGGAACGUCCGGGCUCCACAGGGAACGGUGGUGGGUAACGCCCACCCGGGGUGACCCGCGGGAAAGCGCCACAGAGAACAGACCGCCGCGCGAGCGGUAAGGGUGAAACGGCGGUGUAAGAGACCACCGCGCCCCAGGCGACUGGGGUGGCACGGCAAGCCCCACCGGGAGCAAGACCAGACAGCGUGCGCAGGCGUCCCGUCUAGCACGCGGGUGGGUCGCUCGAGCCUCGCGGCAACGCGGGGCCUAGAUGGAUGGUCGCCACCGCUCGCGAUGCGGGCGGGACAGAACCCGGCGUAUCGGCCGGCUCGUUCG
Molecule: RNase P RNA, 351 nt
Filed under: Actinomycetaceae bacterium
Lineage: Bacteria; Bacillati; Actinomycetota; Actinomycetes; Actinomycetales; Actinomycetaceae
Description: RNase P RNA component class A
Rfam family: Bacterial RNase P class A
About the family: Ribonuclease P (RNase P) is a ubiquitous endoribonuclease, found in archaea, bacteria and eukarya as well as chloroplasts and mitochondria. Its best characterised activity is the generation of mature 5'-ends of tRNAs by cleaving the 5'-leader elements of precursor-tRNAs.
Source: RNAcentral